GUAGGUGAACCUGCGGAAGGAUCAUUAUCACGUAAUAAUCCACGUUAUAAACCCUUCUUUGAAUUGUUUUUAAACACUAAAUUUCUGGAACAGCCUUUGUGGCUGGAAUGCUUCUGAACUGGGAUAUGAAAAUUUUAAUAGAACACGGUCUUAAAAUUUAUUUUAAGAUUGAAAUGGGAAAAUUAUUGUAAUUUGAGAUCCCAGAGUUCUGUUAAUAGUUCAUAACCAGCAAUUCGUUAGUGUCUAAGAA
Molecule: unclassified non-coding RNA, 250 nt
Filed under: plant metagenome
Description: partial contains small subunit ribosomal RNA, internal transcribed spacer 1, and 5.8S ribosomal RNA
Source: RNAcentral